UAUAUAUAUAUAUAUAUAUAUAUAUAUAUAUAUAUGUUUGUGUGUGUGUGUGUGUGUGUGUAUACAAACAGAAAAGAGAGAAUGAGAGAGUGAAAGAAAGAAAGAAGAAAAAUAAAGGGAAAAGUUAUAUGUAUGUGUGUGAGAUUGAGAAACUGGUUGAGAGUACCAUAGAUGGCUAGAUAGAUAGAUAAAGAGAGAGAGAGAGAGAGAUAUUGGUAGAGAGAGAGUGAGAAAGGGAGAGAAGAGAAAGAUGGAGAGUGCAGGCGAUUGGAAGAGCAGACGAGGGAAAGAGUAUGAUUGAGAAAGAAAGGAGAAGUUGUUUCAUCACCGUCCGCCACCGCACCCCAGCUGAACCCAAUAAUUUCCUUGCCAACUGCUGUUGGUUUUUGUUUAUUGGUUUCAAGGGUUCGAUUCUUCACUCCGUGCAGAAAGAAAAUCAAAAUUUAAUAGGAAAAAAAUAACAAAAGAAAGAACGAAAGAAUGAAAUUACACAACAUGGAAGAAACCGUUGUGUUUGGAAUUCUUCUUCACAUGAUGAUGAUGAUGAUGAUGAUGAUGAUCAACAUCAGUAUCAGCAUCAUCGUCGCUCAUUGCGUCAUCAUCGUAGUCAUAGUCGUCGUCAUCGUCGUCGUCAUCACCAUCAUCGUCAUCAUCGUCAUCAUCAUCAACAUCGUCGUCAUCGUCAGCUCGUUUUUGGAACAGAGAAUCAGGGUCGUUUGUCUUCUGGUUUGUUCUAAAAGAUGUACCUGGGUGGGUGCGGGUCGACUGAAAUAUAGUUGUAGUAGUAAUAGUAGUAGUAGUAGUAGCAGCAGUACUGGGUGGUGGGGAGUGGUGAUGGUGGAGUGGUUUACAAGGAAGUCUCAUGCAACUCCCUUCGUGAUGGCGGUGUCGGUUCAACAAGUAUUUCUUAGAUUUCAUUUUAUGCUCCUUUUUUUUUUAUUAUUCCAGGUUUUCUUAUUGUUUUUCGUGUUGGGUGAUGUUUUUCGUGUGGCCGUAAAUACAAGUAUUCGUUGUGGUGUGGCAUGGGAGGCGUGUUGCUGUUGCUGUUGUUGUUUGUGUCCUGAAGAUGUCUACGUGGUUGGUGUUAAAGAAAGUAAAUGGUGUUAUUUCUCUUACAGUUGCGCAUGGUGGUGGUGGUGGUGGUGUGGCAGUCUCGGCGCCGUUGUUGGUGUUGGUUGCAUUGGUGUUGCGGGUGGAGGUGGUGGAGGUGGUGGUAAUGGUGGGCGGCGGCGGCGGUGGUGGUGGUGGUGGUGGUAGUAUUGUGCUGUUGUUUGUGGUGGGGUGUCGAUGUUGACAGUGUGUGGUUACUGCUGUGGUUGUUAGUUGAAGUUGCAUUAUUAUCAUUAUUAUCAUUAUUAUUAUUAUUAUUAUUAUUAUUAUUAUUAGUAGUAGUAGUAGUAGUAGUAGUAGUAGUAGUAGUAGUAGUAGUAGUAGUUGUAGUAGUGGUGGUAGUAGCAGCAGCAGCAGUAGUAAAUGUAGUAGUAGUGGUGGUGGUGGUGGUGGUAGUAGUUGUAGUAGUAGUAGUAUUAGAGGUGGUGGUGGUAGUGGUGGUAGUAGUUGUAGUAGUAGUAGUAGUAGAGGUGGUGGUGGUAGUGGUGGUGGUAGUGGUGGUAGUGGUGGUGACCAUUGCCAUCAUAUUGUCUUUGUCUAUUGUUGUUUCCCGAUGUAAUCACUCGUGUUUGUAAAGUUGCUCGUAAAUACCGUUGGCCUAUUGUUUGUGAUAUAAGUAUUGCCAUGGAGAAGUGGUGGCUACAAUGCCUUUCAAAGUUGCUGUUGGUUGUAAUGUUUGAUGAUAUUCUAGCGGAUUAAAGUUGUUGUUGAAUUUUUAUAAGGGUCCACCUAAGCAUGCCUUACCUCUGUUGUGUCUGUUCGUGUGCGUAUAUCCGUGGCUAUGUAAUUACCGGUGUGCGUUGGUCGGUGGGAAUGGAUUCGCUAGGUGGGUGUGUGUGUGUG
RNAcentral lists this long non-coding RNA (1953 nucleotides) under Octopus vulgaris (common octopus). The record is from RNAcentral. Lineage: Eukaryota; Metazoa; Mollusca; Cephalopoda; Octopoda; Octopodidae.